Molecule: ribosomal RNA, 253 nt
Filed under: uncultured bacterium
Lineage: Bacteria
Description: partial 16S ribosomal RNA
Rfam family: Bacterial small subunit ribosomal RNA
Source: RNAcentral
UACAGAGGUGGCAAGCGUUGUUCGGAAUUACUGGGCGUAAAGGGCGCGUAGGCGGCUUGGUCAGUCCCGUGUGAAAUCCCUCGGCUUAACCGGGGAACUGCGUCUGAUACUGGAUGGCUUGAGUUUGGGAGAGGGACGCGGAAUUCCAGGUGUAGCGGUGAAAUGCGUAGAUAUCUGGAGGAACACCGGUGGCGAAGGCGGCGUCCUGGACCAAUACUGACACUGAAACGCGAAAGCCAGGGGAGCAAACGGG